CGCGGGAUGGAGCAGCAUGGUAGCUCGUCGGGCUCAUAACCCGAAGGUCGUAGGUUCGAAUCCUGCUCCCGCAACCA
RNAcentral lists this transfer RNA (77 nucleotides) under Neisseria cinerea. Its description in RNAcentral is "tRNA-Met(cat)". It matches the Rfam family "tRNA". From Rfam's summary of the family: Transfer RNA (tRNA) molecules are approximately 80 nucleotides in length. Their secondary structure includes four short double-helical elements and three loops (D, anti-codon, and T loops). Lineage: Bacteria; Pseudomonadati; Pseudomonadota; Betaproteobacteria; Neisseriales; Neisseriaceae. The record is from RNAcentral. RNAcentral also lists the same sequence under 452 other names.